AUGAGCAGCCCCCGCAGCCGCCACCGCCGCCGCCGCCUACCCCCGCUGCCGUCCUCCCUCCCCCGCGCAUUCCUCGUCUGCGAGCGCUGGCGCGGCAUCGUAUCCGACGCCCGAUUUCUCCGCCGCUUCCGCGAGCACCACCGCCGCAACCCUCCCCUCCUCGGUUGCUUCGUCCAAGGUAUCUCCCCCAUCCAUUUCGAACCUACGCUGGAUGCCCCCGCAAGCCCGCUUCCCCUUUCCCAUCGACGCCCUACACACCUACGCGAUCCUCGGAUGCCGCCAUGGCCUCAUGCUCAUCUUCCUCUGGCGGCGGAACCAGCUCCUGGUAUGGGAUCCCGUCACCGGUGA
This 348-nucleotide ribosomal RNA is filed under the name Triticum aestivum (bread wheat). RNAcentral describes it as "partial small subunit ribosomal RNA". Lineage: Eukaryota; Viridiplantae; Streptophyta; Magnoliopsida; Poales; Poaceae. The record is from RNAcentral.